Long non-coding RNA from Aegilops tauschii subsp. strangulata, 3812 nucleotides. RefSeq lists it as uncharacterized. NCBI's taxonomy places the organism in Eukaryota, Viridiplantae, Streptophyta, Magnoliopsida, Poales, Poaceae. The record is from RefSeq and is a predicted model, not a curated record.
GCAAAAAAGUCCCCCCAUUUCUGAGAAAUCAACCCGCAGUCCGUUUUUAAGUGAUUAUCAGAGAAAACGUUUCGUUCUUGCAAAAGAGUACCUGUAGUUUGUGCGAUUCAACCCACCGUCCGAUCAGAUUUGCAAAGAAGAAAAAACAGACACGACCACACACACGGGCUCGCCUCCUCUCCCUCUCGCCCACGAAGUCCUCGCCGCCGCCACCACCCAUGCCGGCCACUUCCGGCGACCUCCGGCGACGCACAGCACGCUCCCGAGCUCCCCACGGUCCGCGCCUCCCUCCCCUCUGGACAGAUUCUCCGCUUCCGGCCUCUACCGCCCGCUCGCAACCCCACCCCCGUGGCUAGGGUUUCGGCCAAGGCUUCGCCGGCGCAUCUCCGGCGGCCCCAGAUGCAGAUGUAGCACCCCAUGGGAGUUCCCCAUCCACCACGGUGGCAGAUUCUUCAUGGAGAUGUGAUGCAAAAGAAGCACAAUGUUCAGUGAUGAUUAGGGUGAUGAUGUUUAUGCAUCUAGGGAACCAUGGAGAUUUUAACAUGUGAUAUUUCCUCAAGCAAACUAAGUUCUUUUGCAAUUUGCUGCUCAAGUUGUGGCUCUCCUGCAGGGCAAAUCUUCCCAACAAGAAGCAUAACAGAGGCCUCUCUUUCAAUGUCUGAAGAUUGGUUAUCUAAUAACUGGCCAUCAGAGGGAGAAAUUCAGCUCCAUAACCUCCAUGUAAAUACCAUCAUCUAUUUUCCCUCUUGCCCACUUCUGUUACGUAUUUACAUUUUUGUGUUGGCAUGUUCUAAAGAAGCUGCACCUUUUUUCCCCUUGUGAGUAAAUUGCCAGAAAUCUAAACUCAUGGGCAAAUGAACUGUUUGAUUCAGUGAUUUGCCAGAUCAACAACAGAAUAUUACUAAGUAGCUCAUGUCAUUAACUUUUUAAUAAUGAUGCACGUGAGAUAUACUCCAAGGUAUGCAGACAGGUAUUUUUGGUAGAAUAUGUAGUGGUAAAUCAACUCUCAUGCAUGCCCUUUUCUGUAUCAUGUGUCCUACUAUCGGUUAGAUAAUAGUAGACAUUGUCGACAUUGGCACCAUUGGGUUGUACGAUCUGAUUUCUAGAUUGGCCAUCAUCAAUGUUCGAUUGAACUGUGAGAAACAACCUUGACCCUCUAGGAGAGUACACUGACAAUCAAAUCUAGGAGGUAGUCUUGAUAUUCACAUGCUCAUUGCUUGUCAUUUCUCAAAUUACUAAACAAUCACUUAAAAAAUCUGUUUGUCUUGGCUCGAAGUAUGAAUCUGUUGCUCGUAAUUGUUUUUUAGUUCGAUAUGUCUUCACAUUCGUACAAUUCUAUGAACCUACGUGUUCCCAUUGAUACUUUGUAAAUCUUGUACUGGCUACUACGGCUUUGUGCAUUUCUCAAAUACAGAGGCCCUCCAAUCUUCUUAACUUAUCUAAUAAUGACUGAAAAUUGUUAUUCUACAUUUCAAGCAUCGGGUCACUAUCAGUUAGGAGUUGAAGUUCGGAGAAAGGGGCUAAAACAUGAUUCUCCAGCUCUGCUUUACUCGUACCAUAGAGUUCAUAUUCUGGUAGUUUUGGUGCUUCUGAAAUUGCUGAUAAAUUCCAAAUUGCCCUUGAAGUGGUAGAGAGUGGAGAGAACUGGUGUGUGGGCCAGUGUCAGCCCGUCUGUCUCAGUUGGGUGAUUCUGAGACGGACCAAGAUACUGGUUCUGCCACUGCUUCGGUGGACUUGCAACCUCUUGCAACAGAUAACCUGAUACCGGACACACCACAACAGCAUUACUCAGGGGUGAUUGGCAUGACGAUCGUGCAUCGAAUCACCUUGGUCCUUCAGAGCGAAAUACUCUAGCUUCCUGACUAUGGUGGUACAGUCUGGGGAACGAUUUUCUGUACAAGAGGAGAUCAAAAAAAGGCAUUGCUUAUUGUACAUUAGAUUCUACAGGCAGGGGACCUUCAGCUUUGUAGUACUCCUGCUGUUUCAUGAAGCUUCAGAUUAUAUUACUACAUUUUCCCUUGAUUGUAAGAAAAUCAAGCAUACACUAAUAAAAUUAAGCAUAUAAUACAUAGUAAUUUAAUCUGAAGCUUCAUCAAACACUGGCAACAAUACGUAGUCUCUCCAAGGCCUAUAUAGGUAUGUUUAUCUUGCUGUUUCAGGUUAGAAUAAUGAUUUUAAGCCAUGUAGAUAACCUUCAACUAGCAAUGCCAAUCAUAUAACCCUUGAGCAUGUGACAGAGUUUUCACCCUCACCAUGUCCAGUGACGUUGCUAGCAGGAGUAAGAUGUUUGGGUUGGCGGAGUCGGCGGCCGGUAGUAAAGCAAGGGUGUUGUGUUACAAAUUUUUCAUCAAGAAAUUCGCAUAGGAAUAUAUUUUUUCCUUCAAUAAUGACCCUUUAUAUUUUUAGUACUUUCAAUAUUGUUUCGCUCAAAUAAAAGUAUGUUUUGGUACUUACAAAAUUGUAUCCUUGUGAAGAAGUAGUUGCUUUUUUACUUACAUUGAGAGAAGGUUCAUCUUCAGUGUAUAUAAAUUCCAUGUCCUUUGCAAUAUUUGGCUGCCUUGAAUGAUGCACAUGCUGACCUUCUAUCUUUGUAUGUUGGGUGGAGUCAAGCCCCUACAUGCAGUAGAAGAAUCAAUUUAAGGGUUGUGGUUCAGAGUUUUUCCAUGUAUGUUGGUGAAGUCAUGCAAGUGAAGCACCUCAUUGUCCCCUAUAUUUUUUUUGACUUGUUUGUCUAUGUAUGUUGGGUGAAGUCAUGCAAGUGAAGUGAUAUAUUUUCCGAUUUGUUUGUCUAUGUAUGUUGAGUGAAGUCAGUGAAGAAGUUCAUUUUGUUCGUCCUUUAGAAAUUUAUUUUGUUUUGUUUCUGAUUAACAGGUAAUACUGUCCAGUUUAGAGUGCCUCCUAAAAGUUUGUGUUUACUUUACCGUUUCUUCAUGAUGAAUUUACAAUACACGACGAUCGAAUAACUGCCCUGUAGCUACUAGAAUUUUUUGAAUUGCUAUGAUAGAUUUUACUGUACUGUAGUACUCAAAGAAGUCUACUUGUUUUUGUUUUCGUAGUAAAUUAUAGUUAAUUGAUGACUAACCUAAUGAUGGAUUUAGUGUCCUGUAGCUUCUAUAAUUUACAGCACUAUAAUUUUUUUGAUUGUUUGAAUUUACAGUGACCUCCUGCUUGAAUUUACACUACCCUGUUCGAAGAUUUACAAUCCUAUAACUUCUGUAAUUUACAGCAGUACCAUAAAGGUUGUGAUUGUUGUAUUUUACAGUGACCUGGUAUAGAUUUUACAGUAUACAGUUACCUUAAUUUACAGUGCUACAUUUUUCUGAACUAUUGGUGUUCUAGACAUGUUUUGAUGAUGCUCUUAGGUGUUGAUCUUCUUGUACUGGAAGAACUAUUUGGAGGAGAUUGCGAGAGUACUGACCUGCAGUUUGUCUUCAUGGUGUGACUGUAGUUUCCUGAUUGUGUAGCUAUUCUGUCCCCUUCUUCCUCCAUCCUCUUUCUCGUUCUUAUCUGAUCAUAAAGCACACAUUGUUACUGGUUGUUUCUCCUUAUUUUUACGGAAGUUCCAGUAUCUUUGUUGUGAUCUGGUUGUUACUGACUGGAAUUUUAGUAAAACGAACACUGUAAAAUUCAUCAAAGCUCGAUACACUUUUAAAGUUACUGUUUAUCAUAGUGAGUUGACUGUAAAUUUCAGUCGAGAAAACUGUAUUUGAAGCUUCAUGACGAUGAAAUAUUUAGUAUGUGAUUAGUUCAUAAUGUGUUGAUCAUUGUACAGCAGGUUGAUGAUGAUUUUAUGGCAGCCGAAUGAUGAAUUA